RNAcentral lists this long non-coding RNA (370 nucleotides) under Elaeis guineensis (African oil palm). Its description in RNAcentral is "long non-coding RNA (EGUI_LNC038611)". The record is from RNAcentral. Lineage: Eukaryota; Viridiplantae; Streptophyta; Magnoliopsida; Arecales; Arecaceae.
UCUCCCUUGAAUUGAGAGUUUUAGCUAGUUUAGUCAAAGUUACGAGAGUCAAGUACUUUUGAUGACUUUUCUUCUAGUCUAGCCUUCACCAUAAUUCAUGAUCACGAUAAACUUCGAUGGCUAGGGAUUUUGUAUGCAAAUGCAAUGGCUUAAGUGACACUUAUUGUAUAUAUGCAUAGCUAGGAUAUUGCACAUGCGAUGCACUUAGCUGAGAAAGGAUGAACCAAUUAGGAGUGCUGCAAGAGAGGAAUCAUGCAUGGAUGAAGGGCUGUAGAGUUUCCAAACCAUAUGAGUUUCUCAAGCUUUACACAUUCCAUAUGGGACCUGUCCACAAAUUGAAAGGAGAGAGAAAGAAAGAAGAGGAGGAAAA